This is a long non-coding RNA of Cyprinus carpio carpio, 2045 nucleotides long. Lineage: Eukaryota; Metazoa; Chordata; Actinopteri; Cypriniformes; Cyprinidae. The record is from Ensembl.
GUGCACUGUUAUCUCGACCAUUAACUGCUACGGGGCACUCUGAGAUCUCUGACUCAUGUGUAUAAUACAUUCCUGCCACUUUCAUCUCCAUCCAGUCUACUCUUAUGGGAAAAGGCGUUGUUUAUCUUUUAAAAUGUUGUCUAAACUACACCUUUAAUCUGCAAAACUUGUAUCUGCACUCUUAGAAAUGAUAAAAAAAUGGUUUCUAAAGGACGAAAUGAAAUGAAUGCAUGUUUAAACUUACAGCUCGUUUGUGUUUUUCAAAAAUGCUGGAACAACAACAUGGACAACCAAACGUCAUUUGGGAAGCAGAUCUGAAUGAAGCCUGGAAGCAGAUCGCAUUUGGAUUGGGUUUUGUUCGGGCUGAGCUUUUUGGACUCUCAUUCUGAUGGCACCCAUUCACUGCAGAGGAUCCAUUUGUGAGCAAGUGAUGUAAUGCAUCUGUUCAAAUGAAGAAACGAACUCAUCUACAUCUUGGAUCGCCUGAGGGUGAGUACAUUUUCAGAAAAUUUUAAUUAUGGGUUGAACUACUCCUUUAAAGACAAAGAGCAUUUAAACAUUUUGUCAGUAGUUAAUGUAAUGAACUCCACCUAUGGUUAUGUUGCUAGGGCAUUUGUUUGAGGAGACCUGACUUCAUACAUUCUCUACAAAGCUAAAAAGAGGGAAGAUUGCAAAAUCCUCUAAGAAAAACAAUGCAUUUUCUGAGAAAAGCUCUAGACUCAAGCUUGCAGAUGACAUUUGUUUUGAUACUUUGUAAAAUGCAGUGAUAUUCAUGCAUUACUUUUUUGGAAUAUCAUAUGUUUUGGUGCUGUAAACAACCAAGAAACAUUACGCUGAUUUAAAGAACUUAUAAUGUAACAUGAAUACCUAUUUUUAAUCAAGGCCUAAGUUUGAAAGGCGUACAAUUACCUGAACGGCAAUACACAUAUAUACACAUAGACAUAUUCAAAGGCUAUCAUACUAAAAAUCAGUAUGUGUGAAGGCAAUAGUAGCACCAUUACUAAAAGCUCUUUUUUUUUUUUUUUUUUCAUGAUGCAGGCUAUUAAGUUCCUUUAUAUCGCUCAGAAGCCUAGAUAAUGACUUUUCUUUAUGAUUUCUUUGCACAGUUAAACUUUAAGAGCUGUUUUCUCCAACAUUUUAAGCCUUUUGCUGCUCUUGUGUAGACAUCCAACUGUGAAGUACUGUAUUUCGCACCGUCUAGUCUCUUUGACCCUUCCAUCAAUCAAAGGCAAUAACUUCCAAGAAUCACUGAAUAACAUGGGCUCCAGUUGCUCAUCGCUCGAUUGUGAAAUUCUGCCUACAGUACCAUUCCGUUCCUGCUGAUUUUGUCCCAUCUGGCACAAUUCAAUUAAGCAUAUGCUUGUGAAGUUUCAAAUUGAAAAGUUUUAAGGUGCUAACUGUUCAGAAGAACAUCACAAUCUUGUUUUCGUCAAAGUGAGAAGGGGGUGCCACGGCAGAGUGGUUUAUAGGUUCUCUGUCUGCUCUUCAUUAAAAGUCUGGUUGAGUCUCAUGUAGUGGCUGUGUUGUAAUGAAAGGCUCACAGCAAGCACUGAGGUGGUAAUCAGAAAGCCCAGACUCAACUGGUAACCAGGGCAACUGGAAAUCAGGACUCUUUUUUUUCUCCCUCUCAGACAUUUUGCUGAAUGUCCAUGGAAUACUAAUAACGUUUAUUCUGUUUCGCUUGCCUCCAGUUGCGCUACACAUCAAAACCCUGUCAAGAAUAACGCGGAAAUUGCGCUCAAGCAAAUACAUCGUACACAUCAUCAGCCAAUCAAAUUGAUUAUUUAAAUGACAGACCUUUCAUCCAAACAAGCGCAUAAACAAAAACACCCCACCACUGCCAAUCAUCAUUUCUGGAUAAGAGGAUUGUCAUUGAAAGAACCUCUGUGCUCGUUUUGGUGAAUAAUCCUGGCUGAGGAAGGGAAAUGGCAGGAUUAAAGGGUAAUCAAGCCCAUGAUGGAUCUGGGACUGUAGAGCUCUCUGCAGUGCUGUUAUAAUAUGAUGUCAUCUAUUAUACCCUGUGCUGAUUCGUCAUUGGACCUGUA